Molecule: ribosomal RNA, 492 nt
Filed under: uncultured bacterium
Lineage: Bacteria
Description: partial 16S ribosomal RNA
Rfam family: Bacterial small subunit ribosomal RNA
Source: RNAcentral
AGUGAACGCUGGCGGUAGGCCUAACACAUGCAAGUCGAACGGCAGCACAGUAAGAGCUUGCUCUUACGGGUGGCGAGUGGCGGACGGGUGAGGAAUACAUCGGAAUCUACUUUUUCGUGGGGGAUAACGUAGGGAAACUUACGCUAAUACCGCAUACGACCUACGGGUGAAAGCAGGGGAUCUUCGGACCUUGCGCGAUUGAAUGAGCCGAUGUCGGAUUAGCUGGUUGGCGGGGUAAAGGCCCACCAAGGCGACGAUCCGUAGCUGGUCUGAGAGGAUGAUCAGCCACACUGGAACUGAGACACGGUCCAGACUCCUACGGGAGGCAGCAGUGGGGAAUAUUGGACAAUGGGCGCAAGCCUGAUCCAGCCAUAUCGCGUGGGUGAAGAAGGCCUUCGGGUUGUAAAGCCCUUUUGUUGGGAAAGAAAAGCAGCAGGUUAAUACCCCGCUGUUCUGACGGUACCCAAAGAAUAAGCACCGGCUAACUUCGUG